RNAcentral lists this long non-coding RNA (670 nucleotides) under Rhinopithecus bieti (black snub-nosed monkey). RNAcentral's name for it is "lncRNA (ENSRBIG00000046813.1)". The record is from RNAcentral. Lineage: Eukaryota; Metazoa; Chordata; Mammalia; Primates; Cercopithecidae.
AUCUCUGUUUUUCCUCAAACUACAGGAACAUCAAUUAGAAAAAACUUGAUACCCUGGAUCAUUCUAGGGUCUGUGAUCAAUUGUCUCCAAAGCAGGAAGACCAAGGUCACAUCCCCUGGAUAAUGCUGUGAGCUGCACUCCCCACCACCAUUUUCCUGGAGGUUCAGAUGCAGAGCCCACCCAGCACCUCCCUGCCCUGGAGCCUGACUUUCUGGAGAGCAGUCUUUAACAGUUAGUGGGGACAUCAUCCUGACCCAGGUGCCAGCCUCCUGUCUCACAUCCAGGAAAGACAGUCUCCAUCUCCUGCCAAACCACUGCCCUUGUACAUGGAAAAAUGUUUUCAAUCCAGCUUUUCCUAGGACUCACGCUGGCCUCCUCCACAGUGGGAAUCAAGACCCACCCUCCUGCUACCCUCCCAGGAAUCCAGCACUCACUACUUGGAAGCUUUUCUUUGUAAACCCUCCAAAUGCAACCUCUGACAGAGACCUGACUGGAGUGGCCAGCGUCUUCCCACCAGAAAUCACUGAGAAGGAGAAACCUUCAAACACCACUUUGUUUUUGAGGAGAUGCAUAUAAUCCCCAGAUUUUAUAUCCUUUCCAACUGUUUUAUUAUUUGUUUCUUAACCACAAUUCUAUUCUUAUGGUCUUGAGGGAAGGAGGAAUUAAGGGG